RNAcentral lists this ribosomal RNA (399 nucleotides) under uncultured bacterium. Its description in RNAcentral is "bacterial SSU rRNA". It matches the Rfam family "Bacterial small subunit ribosomal RNA", at positions 358 to 773 of the family's 1533-position model. The record is from RNAcentral.
GGAAUAUUGCUCAAUGGGCGCAAGCCUGAAGCAGCGACGCCGCGUGGGCGAUGAAGGUUUUCGGAUCGUAAAGCCCUUUUCUCUGGGACGAGCAAGGACGGUACCAGAGGAAUAAGUGUCGGCUAACUACGUGCCAGCAGCCGCGGUAAAACGUAGGACGCAAGCGUUAUCCGGAAUUACUGGGCGUAAAGCGCGUGUAGGCGGGUGAUUAAGUCAUUGGUGAAAGCUCCGGGCUAAACUCGGAGAGGUCCGAUGAUACUGGUCAUCUGGAGGGGGUCAGAGGGGUGUGGAAUUCCGGGUGUAGUGGUGAAAUGCGUAGAGAUCCGGAGGAACACCAGAGGCGAAGGCGACACCCUGGGACCAACCUGACGCUGAGACGCGAAAGCAUGGGGAGCGAAC